GACGAACGCUGGCGGCGUGCUUAACACAUGCAAGUCGAACGGUAAGGCCCUUCGGGGUACACGAGUGGCGAACGGGUGAGUAACACGUGGGUGAUCUGCCCUGCACUUCGGGAUAAGCCUGGGAAACUGGGUCUAAUACCGGAUAGGACCCUGGGAUGCAUGUCCUGGGGUGGAAAGCUUUUGCGGUGUGGGAUGGGCCCGCGGCCUAUCAGCUUGUUGGUGGGGUGAUGGCCUACCAAGGCGACGACGGGUAGCCGGCCUGAGAGGGUGACCGGCCACACUGGGACUGAGAGACCGCCCAGACGCCUACGGGAGGCAGCAGUGGGGAAUAUUGCUCAAUGGGCGCAAGCCUGAUGCAGCGACGCCGCGUGAGGGAUGACGGCCUUCGGGUUGUAAACCUCUUUCAGCACCGACGAAGCGCAAGUGACGGUAGGUGCAGAAGAAGGACCGGCCAACUACGUGCCAGCCGCCGCAGUAA
RNAcentral lists this ribosomal RNA (478 nucleotides) under uncultured bacterium. RNAcentral's name for it is "partial 16S ribosomal RNA". It matches the Rfam family "Bacterial small subunit ribosomal RNA", at positions 28 to 523 of the family's 1533-position model. The record is from RNAcentral.